UUUAGUUUAUUUAUUAUGUUUAUAUGUUACAGUUAAAUAGUGGCAAUUAUGUAAAAUUUAGAAAAAAUAGGACAUAAUAUAUAUCAUAAUUGAUACAUUUUAAAUGUCUAUUAGAAAGGAAUAUUAUGUGGGUUUUAUUUAAAAUCACUCUUCAAAAUUGGGUGUAUAUGAAAAUCCCCCUAAUUACAACCCUUUAUAUUAAGAGAAAGACCCUUUGAUUCCAAAUGAAAGAAAAUAAAGAGUGGGAUGUGUGUUUGUUUGUUUUUGCGGCUGCACCCGGACAUUUGAAUGGGUUGCCUACGUACCCUUCGGAAGGGAUCAAGCCACUCGUAGUUCAAGAAUCCUACCCGAACAUUUUUUUUUUUGGUAUUUUCUUGUGUGAAGUAGCCAAUGUGGUUAGGAAAUUGAAGUUGGUCUUUUUGCUGGAAACCGUUCAUUGGUAUUGAGCAUUUGGUGAUCUCUUCUAAUUUUUGUGUUCAUCUAAAACUCCAGAUUUUAAAAGGCUCAACUCCAUCUUGGUUCUUGGUAUUCAGCAUUUGGUCUCUUCUAAUUUGUGUGUUCAUCUAAAACUUCAGAUUUUAAAAGGCUCAAUUCUGUAGAUGAUUUCUCUUUUAGGAACUUUUUUUUUAACUUUUUUUUUCUGAGUUUCUGAGUUAAAAUGAAGAUUUUCAUUCGUGAAAGCUACUAAGAAGCAUUACAAUCAAGUUUCAGUACAUCAGCAAUGCAAGUAGGAGGCUGAGAUAGCCAAAUAAUGCUGCAAUUCCACAUUACAUGUUCUAGGCAGCAGCAUUCUGAUGUCAUCUGUCACACCGGCUUCAGCCAAACCAUCAUAGACAUUAGACUUUAUUGAAUUCACAGCUUCCUGACAGUGAGUUUCAAUCACAAUGUGUUGCAGACACAUAGUUUGCGGUAAUUUUAGCCCUUUCUUUAACACCCUGCAAUUCCACUUGGUUA
This 954-nucleotide long non-coding RNA is filed under the name Fragaria vesca (wild strawberry). RNAcentral describes it as "long non-coding RNA (FVES_LNC002630)". The record is from RNAcentral. Lineage: Eukaryota; Viridiplantae; Streptophyta; Magnoliopsida; Rosales; Rosaceae.